This 715-nucleotide ribosomal RNA is filed under the name Laccaria cf. roseoalbescens. RNAcentral describes it as "partial large subunit ribosomal RNA". It matches the Rfam family "Eukaryotic large subunit ribosomal RNA", at positions 76 to 774 of the family's 3401-position model. The record is from RNAcentral. Lineage: Eukaryota; Fungi; Basidiomycota; Agaricomycetes; Agaricales; Hydnangiaceae.
UCCCCUAGUAACUGCGAGUGAAGCGGGAAAAGCUCAAAUUUAAAAUCUGGCAGUCUUUGGCUGUCCGAGUUGUAAUCUAGAGAAGUAUUAUCCGCGCUGGACCGUGUACAAGUCUCCUGGAAUGGAGCGUCAUAGAGGGUGAGAAUCCCGUCUUUGACACGGACUGCCAGGGCUUUGUGAUGUGCUCUCAAAGAGUCGAGUUGUUUGGGAAUGCAGCUCAAAAUGGGUGGUAAAUUCCAUCUAAAGCUAAAUAUUGGCGAGAGACCGAUAGCGAACAAGUACCGUGAGGGAAAGAUGAAAAGAACUUUGGAAAGAGAGUUAAACAGUACGUGAAAUUGCUGAAAGGGAAACGCUUGAAGUCAGUCACGUUGGCCAGGGAUCAACCUUGCUUUUCUGCUGGGCUUACUUUCUGGUCAAUGGGUCAGCAUCAAUUUUGACUGGUGGAAAAAGUUCAAGGGAAUGUGGCAUCUUCGGAUGUGUUAUAGCCUUUGUUCACAUACAUUGGUUGGGAUUGAGGAACUCAGCAUGCCGCAAGGCCGGGUUUUUAACCACGUACAUGCUUAGGAUGCUGGCAUAAUGGCUUUAAUCGACCCGUCUUGAAACACGGACCAAGGAGUCUAACAUGCCUGCAAGUGUUUGGGUGAAAAACCCGAGUGCGUAAUGAAAGUGAAAAGUUGAGAUCCCUGUCGUGGGGAGCAUUGACGCCCGGAUCUGA